This 253-nucleotide ribosomal RNA is filed under the name uncultured bacterium. RNAcentral's name for it is "partial 16S ribosomal RNA". It matches the Rfam family "Bacterial small subunit ribosomal RNA", at positions 524 to 776 of the family's 1533-position model. The record is from RNAcentral.
UACGUAGGGUGCGAGCGUUGCCCGGAUUUAUUGGGCGUAAAGGGCGCGCAGGCGGCCACGCACGUCCGUUGUGAAAUCGCUCGGCUCAACUGGGCGGGGUCAGCGGAUACGGCGUGGCUGGAGCAAGCUAGGGGGCAAUGGAAUUCCCGGUGUAGUGGUGGAAUGCGUAGAUAUCGGGAGGAACACCAGUGGCGAAGGCGGUUGCCUGGAGCUUUGCUGACGCUGAUGCGCGAAAGCGUGGGGAGCGAUCCGG